RNAcentral lists this unclassified non-coding RNA (314 nucleotides) under Hevea brasiliensis (rubber tree). The record is from RNAcentral. Lineage: Eukaryota; Viridiplantae; Streptophyta; Magnoliopsida; Malpighiales; Euphorbiaceae.
UUUAUUACUCUUUUUAAGGUCACGCACACACAACCCUACAACCUUCACUAAAAUUAGAGACAAAAAGCUAUACAAAAAAAGAAGCUUUCAGGUAGGAUGAUUCCCCUGUGUCUGCUAUGUGCCAAAUUGCCAACUCAAAAGCUAGCUGGAAGAGGCAUGGUGGAAAUUGUCACCAUGAAGCUCAAACUGAUUUUAGCAAGCAAUUUCAAGUCUCCAGUACUGCCAAUUGUGACCAUUUCGUAUCCACCAACAUCACUGUCCAUCCUGGUUUGAGCUUUCUGUGCUACAAUAUAUAUUUCUAUAUUUCUUUUCUU